AGAACGAACGCUGGCGGCAUGCCUAAUACAUGCAAGUCGAACGAACUCUUCGGAGUUAGUGGCGCACGGGUGCGUAACGCGUGGGAAUCUGCCCUUGGGUUCGGAAUAACAGUUGGAAACGACUGCUAAUACCGGAUGAUGACGUAAGUCCAAAGAUUUAUCGCCCAAGGAUGAGCCCGCGUAGGAUUAGCUAGUUGGUGGGGUAAAAGCCUACCAAGGCGACGAUCUGUAGCUGGUUUGAGAGAACGACCAGCCACACUGGGACUGAGACACGGCCCAGACUCCUACGGGAGGCAGCAGUGGGGAAUUUUGGACAAUGGGCGAAAGCCUGAUCCAAGCAAUGCCGCGUGCAGGAAGAAGGCCUUCGGGUUGUAAACUGCUUUUGUACGGAACGAAACGGUCUGCUUUAAUACAGUGGCUAAUGACGGUACCGUAAGAAUAAGCACCGGCUAACUACGUGCCAGCAGCCGC
Molecule: ribosomal RNA, 471 nt
Filed under: uncultured soil bacterium
Lineage: Bacteria
Description: bacterial SSU rRNA
Rfam family: Bacterial small subunit ribosomal RNA
Source: RNAcentral